This 270-nucleotide ribosomal RNA is filed under the name Triticum aestivum (bread wheat). Its description in RNAcentral is "partial small subunit ribosomal RNA". Lineage: Eukaryota; Viridiplantae; Streptophyta; Magnoliopsida; Poales; Poaceae. The record is from RNAcentral.
AUGAUUCCCAUGGUGAUCCUGGCGGCGGCCGCGGCCGUGUGCGCCCACUUCUGGUCGCCGGUGGCGAUGAUGCACGCGCCGGGAGCCGCCGGACGGUUGAUCUGCCGGGCGGCGUUUGAAGCUUUCCCGGAGUUCUACUGCUGCCUGCUCCGCACGUUUGGACCCGCCGAGGCCGCGUUCGUGUUCCGCCACCUCCCCGGGUGGCUCAUCCGGCUCUUGGCUUCCCAUUUCGGCAUGUGCGACGACUGUCUGCUGGUCGAUGUGAUUUGA